UUGGAGUCCACCUCCAACUCAAUUGAUCGUGUCCUCAAAUAGCUAACCACACGAUGGUCCCAAGUUUAGCUACGCUGCCUAGCCAAUCUAUCGAGACUUCGUCGCUUGGCCGCUAUUCGCCAUGGACAUCGGGAGGGAUCGGAGCUGCACAAGCACGAUGUCGGGGAGGCCAUGUUGUCGGCUGUUCGCCAUGCCGGCCUGACGACAAAGAGAAGGCAUUGGAGCCGAACGAGGACGAUGUUCGGCUGCUCAAAUCGAAAAUACUUGCGAUUGAAUUCUCCCAGUCACGACACCCUGACCACGGGCUCCCGGGAAGGGCAGGCGCAUCGAACCUCCGUUCCAACGCUGCCGGACUCUUGCCAGCGCGCCGGUCUUGAUUCACCCGCCUGCCCCUUCGGUUACUCCGGAAUUUGAAGAGAGACAGAGCCGGGGAUCGUAUGUCAUGUAAUGCGGCGAAGGGUCUUCAGUCUGGUGCUUGUCUUUCUGGCGUGCCUACACUGUUGCCGUAAUGCCGUCGCUCGCGGGCCGGUAGGUACUGCUCAUCCGAUACGUCGACAGACACGUUCUGCAGCCAGGCAUCCACGGGGAAGAUCAGGAGGCCAUUGUUUAGUCCGAGGAAGAAGACCGUCUGCCAGACCCCUGAUCAUAAGCUUGCUGUCAUGUAAGCCAUGUAAGGAAAGGGAGGUUGGAUCAGCUUCUCAAAUUUACGUAUGCUUCUGGUCUCACGCCGAGUGCGCAAUCUAUCCUACAUUUAAUUCUGAAUAGGGCUGUAGGAUUUGCGUAUAUAUGAAACACGUGGUAUUUAGUUUCCAGAAAGCGAGGCACACAUCUCCAGCGCUAUGGGAAUAUAAUAAUUCAGAUAAUCUAUUCGGACCCUGAUUCCUUUCGAGCCCACUGCUGUUGUAGAAGAGGCACACUAUGUUUUCAUGUUUUCCUCUCUUCUUUGUUUCGUUCUAAAAGAGCAUGUUAUUGGCAUGUACGACUGCCUGCAUUCUGUAGUUUACCUCUGAAUGUACAUCGUAAUGUUGGCUUGCUACUGUAGUUUAGUUUUGAUUCUAUCUUUACUUUUGGAAAAUACAAUUGUCAAUUGGCUA
Lolium perenne is the source of this 1094-nucleotide long non-coding RNA. RefSeq lists it as uncharacterized. NCBI's taxonomy places the organism in Eukaryota, Viridiplantae, Streptophyta, Magnoliopsida, Poales, Poaceae. The record is from RefSeq and is a predicted model, not a curated record.